This 910-nucleotide ribosomal RNA is filed under the name uncultured bacterium. RNAcentral describes it as "bacterial SSU rRNA". It matches the Rfam family "Bacterial small subunit ribosomal RNA", at positions 8 to 916 of the family's 1533-position model. The record is from RNAcentral.
AGAGUUUGAUCCUGGCUCAGGACGAACGCUGGCGGCGUGCUUAAUGCAUGCAAGUCGAACGAAGACUCCACUAUGGGUAACCACUGUGGAAUUCUUAGUGGCGAACGGGUGAGUAACACGUGAGAAACCUGCCCCGGAGACCGGGAUAGCCCAGGGAAACCUGGAUUAAUACCGGAUACCCUCUAACGAUCGCAUGGUCGAUUGAGGAAAUGGUCCGCCGCUCCGGGAUGGUCUCGCGACCUAUCAGCUUGUUGGUGAGGUAAUGGCUCACCAAGGCAUCGACGGGUAGCUGGUCUGAGAGGACGAUCAGCCACACUGGGACUGAGACACGGCCCAGACUCCUACGGGAGGCAGCAGCAGGGAAUUUUGCACAAUGGACGAAAGUCUGAUGCAGCGACGCCGCGUGGGGGAUGAAUGCCUUCGGGUUGUAAACCCCUUUCAGGAGGGACGAAGCGAAAGUGACGGUACCUCCAGAAGAAGCCCCGGCCAACUACGUGCCAGCAGCCGCGGUAAUACGUAGGGGGCGAGCGUUGUCCGGAUUUAUUGGGCGUAAAGAGCUCGUAGGCGGCUCAACAAGUCGGUCGUGAAAGCCUGAGGCUCAACCUCAGGAUGCCGGUCGAAACUGUUGUGGCUAGGGUUCGGUAGAGGAGAGUGGAAUUCCCAGUGUAGCGGUGAAAUGCGCAGAUAUUGGGAGGAACACCAGUAGCGAAGGCGGCUCUCUGGGCCGAUACCGACGCUGAGGAGCGAAAGCUAGGGGAGCGAACAGGAUUAGAUACCCUGGUAGUCCUAGCUGUAAACGUUGGGCACUAGGUGUGGCGGACUCAUUGACGUCUGCCGUGCCGAAGCUAACGCAUUAAGUGCCCCGCCUGGGGAGUACGGUCGCAAGGCUAAAACUCAAAGGAAUUGAUGG